This 403-nucleotide ribosomal RNA is filed under the name uncultured bacterium. RNAcentral describes it as "partial 16S ribosomal RNA". It matches the Rfam family "Bacterial small subunit ribosomal RNA", at positions 28 to 526 of the family's 1533-position model. The record is from RNAcentral.
GACGAACGCUGGCGGCGUGCCUAAUACAUGCAAGUCGAACGCAGUGGGGACGGGUGAGUAACACGUGGGUAACCUCCCAUCAGAGGGGAUAACACUUGGAAACAGGUGCUAAACCGAUACUGAUGGAUGGACCCGCGGUGCAUUAGGUAGUUGGUGAGGUAACGGCUCACCAAGGCCACGCUGCAUAGCCGGCCUUAGAGGGUGACCGGCCACACUGGGACGGAGCCACGGCCCAGACUCCUACGGGAGGCAGCAGUAGGGAAUCUGCGGCAAUGGACGAAAGUUUGACCGAGCAACGCCGCGUGAGUGAAGAAGGUUUUCGGGUUGUAAAGCUCUGUUGUUAGAGAAGCGGUAUCUAACCAGAAAGCCACGGCUAACUACGUGCCAGCCGCCGCGGUAAUAC